This 460-nucleotide ribosomal RNA is filed under the name uncultured bacterium. RNAcentral's name for it is "partial 16S ribosomal RNA". It matches the Rfam family "Bacterial small subunit ribosomal RNA", at positions 338 to 795 of the family's 1533-position model. The record is from RNAcentral.
CCUACGGGGGGCAGCAGUGAGGAAUAUUGGUCAAUGGACGAGAGUCUGAACCAGCCAAGUAGCGUGAAGGAUGACUGCCCUAUGGGUUGUAAACUUCUUUUAUAUGGGAAUAAAACGUUCCACGUGUGGGAUUUUGUAUGUACCAUAUGAAUAAGGAUCGGCUAACUCCGUGCCAGCAGCCGCGGUAAUACGGAGGAUCCGAGCGUUAUCCGGAUUUAUUGGGGUUAAAGGGAGCGUAGGUGGAUUGUUAAGGCAGUUGUGAAAGUUUGUGGCUCAACCGUAAAAGUGCAGUUGAAACUGGCAGUCUUGAGUACAGUAGAGGUGGGCGGAAUUCGUGGUGUAGCGGUGAAAUGCUUAGAUAUCACGAAGAACUCCGAUUGCGAAGGCAGUUCACUGGACUGCAACUGACACUGAGGCUCGAAAGUGUGGGUAUCAAACAGGAUUAGAUACCCGAGUAGUC